Molecule: long non-coding RNA, 4564 nt
Filed under: Homo sapiens (human)
Lineage: Eukaryota; Metazoa; Chordata; Mammalia; Primates; Hominidae
Description: HSALNT0390053
Source: RNAcentral
AUGCCCAUCCAAUGGGCGACCACUCCAGGCUCCGUUACCCCCCAGAGACAAGGAGAGGAAGGGGCGGUUAGCGGACCACGCUCUCUCGCCGCUUCUGAGCUUUUCCCGCUCAAAGUAAAUGUGUUCGGGAUUGGCCCGGACUGGCAGGCACCGGCCCGAUGAUUUGCUGAUAGGGCAGCGGAGAGGCCGGUCGUGGAAGGUUGAAAGAGCUAAAGAGCGCAGCCCUACCGGGUGGGAGAGGUGUUGGAGGCACUUGGAAGAUUUGAGAAGUCGCUCAGCAACUGGCUUAUCCUCCAAAACCUAGCUGUUGCGCACAUUUCAUUUGUCCGACAUUUCAUAUUUGUUCCUUAGUCCCUCCCGUAGCUUCAGAAUCCGUUGGAGCUGCCCAGAGACUGAUAUAUCUUGUACCGGUUUGGGGAGGGCGAGGAGCAACUUGUGGAUUGGGUGUUGCUGGGAGACCCCUUUUUGAGGGAGAGCUGCCCUGUGUCCUAAGCCCGGGCUUUCAGUCCGGGUUAAGGCAUUUAAGUGUUAAUGUGACUUUUGAACAAAGUUCGCUGUGACCUUUUUGUUCGUUUUUGUUUGUCUGUGUAAAACAGGGUCUUGCUCUGUCGCCCAGGCUGGAGUGCAGUGGCGCUAUCAUAGCUCGUUGCAGCCUUGAACUCCCGGGUUCAAGCGACCCUCCCGCCUCAGCCUCCCGAGUAGCUGGGGCUGCAGGCACGCGGCGCCACCACUCCUGGCUAAUUUUUUAAUUUUUUUGUAAAGCUGAAGGGCGGGGGGGUUGGGUCUCCUUAUGUUGCCCAGGCUGGUCUCAAACUCCUGGUCUCGAGCGAUCCUCCCGCCUCAGCCUCCCGAGUAGUUGGGGCUACAGGCGCGUGCCACCACUCCCAGCUAAUUUUUUUUUUUUUUUUUUUUUUGGUGAGAUGGAGUCUCACUGUCGCCAGGCUAGAGUGCGGUGGCGCAAAGGCUCACUGCAACCUCCGCCUCCCGGGUUCAAGCGAUUCUCCCGCCUCAGCCUCCCGAGUAGCUAGGACUACAGGCCCACGCCACCACGCCCCGCUAAUUUUUGUAUUUUUAGUAGAGACGGGAAUUUCACCAUGUUGUCCAGGAUGGUCUCGAUCUCUUGACCUCGUGAUCCGCCCGCCUCGGCCUCCCAAAAUUCUGGGAUUACAGGCGUGAGCCACGGCGCCUGGCCCUAGCUAAUUUUUUAAUUUUUUUGUAGAGCUGGGGUUGGAGGUGGGGAUGGGGGUAGGGGGUUGGAUCUCCUUAUGUUGCUCAGGCUGGUCUUGAACUGAACUCUUGGCCUGAAGUGAUCCUCCGCCUCGGCCUCCCAAAGUGUGGGAUUACAGGGUCUUGCUCUGUCACCUAGGCUGGAGUGCAGUGGUGUGAUCACAGCUCACUGGAGCCUCGACCUCCUGGGAUCAAGCGAUUCUCUCACCUCAACCUUUGAACUUCUAGAUAAGUGGUUCUCAAAGUGUGGUCCUUCAACCAACAGCAUCAUCACCACCCAGGAACUUAUUAGAAAUGGAAGUUCUUGCACCCUGCCAAAACCAGAAACUGCGGAUGGGUCCCAGCAAUCUUUAUUUUAACGACUGUUAAAAUCAGAAUCAAGUGAUUCUGAUGCAAACUUAAGUUUGAAAACAUUGUUCUAUUAAAAGUAAUGGCAAAAACCGCAAUUACUUUUGCACCAACCUAAGAGCUCUGCACUGUUCAAUAUGGUAGCUUCUAACUAUUGAAUUUUUUAAUGCUAUUAUCUCCUUUAUUCAAAAAUAAAUAUUUCACUUUGAUUCAACAUAUUUCAAAUUACAUUAAGCACAGAGAGGAAAUACAUUCCCUUUGGAGAUUGUGAACACGUGUUGGAAAGAGGCAUGAUCCAAAUAAUGGGGAUGAGGUGAGUGUGGAUUCCAGCUGCUUCCUGACCCAGAAGUUCUGCCCCUCUUCAGGUGGAGCUACUUAUCGAUUUUUAGGCGAGAAAAAGACAGACACACACACACACACACACACACACACUGCUUUGAAGUCUGAAAGGCAUAUGAGUGGACCGUAAGGUAUAUGGCACGUUCACUGAUAAAACAUCCCCUACUCCCUCCCAAGAAAAGCAGAGACACUUUAAUCAAGUCAAAGGCCAGAGAAGGGCCUGGUGCAGUGGCUCACGCCUGUAUCCCAGCACUUUGGGAGGCCAAGGCGGGUGAAUCCCGAGGUCAGGAGUUCGAGACCAGCCUGACUCAUAUGGUGAAACCCUGUCUCUACUAAAAAUACGAAAAUUAGCUGGGCGUGGUGGCAUGUGCCUGUAAUCCCAGCUACUCGUGAGGUUGAGGCAGGAGAAUCGCUUGAACCCAGGAGGCAGAGGUUGCAGUGAGCUGAGACUGCACCAUUGCGUUCCAGUCUGGGUGACUGAGCGAGACUCUGUCUCAAAAAAGAAAAAAAAAAAAGCAGCGAAGACAGGGUGCUCCUGCUUAUAGCUCAGCAGCAUGAACAUCUCUGAAUAUGAAAGCCAUUUUUCAUUUGCUUCUACCUCCUGUGCCUCCUUUCCCUGCCGACUGGGUCCGUGGAUGGCCGCGGUGCUCACUUGGUGAUGGUGGGGCGUGUGGCUGCAUACACAAACACCACAAUCAGCAGCACGACCGCGGCCAGCGUGGGCAGCACCACCGUGGUGAUCUGCUGCCGGGCCUCCUGCAUGGCUUGCUUCUGCUCCUUCUUGUCCUUCCAUGUCUCCUUCCUGGGCUUCCCUUUGAGCUGCCUCAUCUUUCCUAGAAGAUGCUGGGAGGCUGUGUCCAGAGGGAUUCCAAAAAGGGCCACAAUCCUCUUGUCAAGGCUGGAACCUCCUUUUCUUCAACUUGAUUCAAUAAUUUCAGCAAACUGAUUUCCAGUACAGGUGACUUGACUUAUUUGUUGUAACAGAUCAUGUCUUCAACAUGCAACACUCUCAGAUGGUGCAGCUGGGAAAAUGGACAACAUCUUUACUGAUCUUUAGCAGUCUGUAACUAUUGAAUUCUUAUAAUAUAUUUAGAAUGAACCGAGAUGGGCUAUAAGUGUAAGAUACAUCCUGGAUUUCAAAGGCUUAAUAUGAAAACAGAGAAAGUAAAAUAUCUCACUGGUAAUUUACAUAUUGAUAGCAUUAAAAUCAUAUUUUUCAUAUACUGGGUUAAAUAAAAUAUUAAUUUUACCCUUUUAAAAGUUUUUACAUGAGAUUACUAGAAAAUUUUAAAUUACAUAUAUGGCUCUCAUUAUAUUUUUUUCUUUUUUCUUUCUUUCUUUUUUUCUUUUUAUUUUUUUAGAGAUGGGUCUCACUAUGUUGCCUAGGCUACAUCUAACUCCCAGGCUGAAGCAAAUCCUCCCACCUCAGCCUCGCAAGUAACUCGGACUGCAGGCAUGUUCCACUGUGCCUGCCUUCAGCUCUUAUAUUUCACACCAUUCUCCUGCCUCAGCCUCCCGAGUAGCUGGGACUACAGGUGCCCACCACCACGCCCGCCUAAUUUUUUUGUAUUUUUAGUAGAGAUGGGGUUUCACCAUGUUAGCCAGGAUGGUCUCGAUCUCCUGACCUCAUGAUCUGCCUGCCUCAGCCUCCCAAAGUGCUGGGAUUACAGGCAUGAGCCACUGUGCCCGGCUUUCUUUUCUAAGAGACAGAGUCUCACUCUGUUACCCAGGCUGGAGUGUAAUAGUGGAUGUAAUAGCUCACUACAUGCUUGAACUCCUGAGCUCAAGCAAUCCUCUUCCAGCCUCAUUCUCCCCAGUAGCUAGGACUACAGGUGCACACCACCAUGCCCAGCUGAUUUUUAAUUUUUUUUUGUAGAGAUGAUCUCUUGCCAUGUUACCCAGGCUGGUCUUAAACUCCAGGGCUCAGGGAAUCAUCUCACUUUGGCCUCCCAAAAUGCUGGGAUUACAGGUGUGAACCACUGUACCCAACAGCUCUCAUAUUUCUAUUGGACAGCGUUGUUCUAGACCAUGGGUCUGCAAACUACAGCCUGUGGGCCAAAUCUGGCCUACCACCUGUUUUUGUGCAGCCCAUGAGCUAAGAAUGGUUUUCAUUUUUUAAGUGGUUGAAAAUAAUUUUUAAAAAGAAUGAUGUCCUCUGACAUGUAAAAAUUAUAUGAAAUUCAAGUUUCAUUGUUUAUAAGUAAAGUUUUAUUGGAACACGGGCACACUCAUUUAUUUGUUUAUCAUCUAUGACUGCUUUUGCUUUACAGUAGCAGAACUGAGUAGCUGUGAUAAGGAUGUGCAGCUUGAAAGUCUAAAAUAUUUACUAUCUGGCCCUUUAUGGCAAAUGUGUGCUGAUCCCCGUUCUAGACCAUCAGCUUUCAUAUAUUCCCUGGAAGAGGACCCUGCUUUUAACUUACUCCUAUUUUUUUGUUCUCAAUCUUUGCUUAGCUUUUAGGCCCAACUCCUUGAUAUGCCACUGCCCAAAUCUCAGUGGUAUUUUGGGGUUACAAGAGCUGACCUAUGCAUUCUUUAGACUACAAAGAAGUCAGCCAAAAAUGUUCUUGCCUUCCUAGAGCUGCACAGGAACUGGUGGAUCUAGCAAAAGAGAACAGAGAGAUGUUCAAUAGCUUCUUUCUCCAAAGGUAGG